GAUGGGAUUAGCUAGUAGGUGGGGUAACGGCUCACCUAGGCGACGAUCCCUAGCUGGUCUGAGAGGAUGACCAGCCACACUGGAACUGAGACACGGCCCAGACUCCUACGGGAGGCAGCAGUGGGGAAUAUUGCACAAUGGGGGAAACCCUGAUGCAGCCAUGCCGCGUGUGUGAAGAAGGCCUUCGGGUUGUAAAGCACUUUCAGCGGGGAGGAAGGCGGCAAGGUUAAUAACCUUGUCGAUUGACGUUACCCGCAGAAGAAGCACCGGCUAACUCCGUGCCAGCAGCCGCGGUAAUACGGAGGGUGCAAGCGUUAAUCGGAAUGACUGGGCGUAAAGCGCACGCAGGCGGUCUGUUAAGUUGGAUGUGAAAUCCCCGGGCUUAACCUGGGAACUGCAUUCAAAACUGACAGGCUAGAGUCUCGUAGAGGGGGGUAGAAUUCCAGGUGUAGCGGUGAGAUGCGUAGAGAUCUGGAGGAAUACCGGUGGCGAAGGCGGCCCCCUGGACGAAGACUGACGCUCAGGUGCGAAAGCGUGGGGAGCAAACAGGAUUAGAUACCCUGGUAGUCCACGCUGUAAACGAUGUCGAUUUGGAGGUUGUGCCCUUGAGGCGUGGCUUCCGGAGCUAACGCGUUAAAUCGACCGCCUGGGGAGUACGGCCGCAAGGUUAAAACUCAAAUGAAUUGACGGGGGCCCGCACAAGCGGUGGAGCAUGUGGUUUAAUUCGAUGCAACGCGAAGAACCUUACCUACUCUUGACAUCCAGCGAAGACUGCAGAGAUGCGGUCGUGCCCUCGGGAACGCUGAGACAGGUGCUGCAUGGCUGUCGUCAGCUCGUGUUGUGAAAUGUUGGGUUAAGUCCCGCAACGAGCGCAACCCUUAUCCUCUGUUGCCAGCACUACGGGUGGGAACUCAGGGGAGACUGCCGGUGAUAAACCGGAGGAAGGUGGGGAUGACGUCAAGCCAUCAUGGCCCUUACGAGUAGGGCUACACACGUGCUACAAUGGCGUAUACAAAGA
This 1018-nucleotide ribosomal RNA is filed under the name Dickeya sp. RNAcentral's name for it is "bacterial SSU rRNA". It matches the Rfam family "Bacterial small subunit ribosomal RNA", at positions 234 to 1245 of the family's 1533-position model. The record is from RNAcentral. Lineage: Bacteria; Pseudomonadati; Pseudomonadota; Gammaproteobacteria; Enterobacterales; Pectobacteriaceae.